UACGGGAGGCAGCAGUGGGGAAUAUUGCACAAUGGGCGCAAGCCUGAUGCAGCCAUGCCGCGUGUAUGAAAAAGGCCUUCGGGUUGUAAAGUACUUUCAGUCGUGAGGAAGGUGUUAAGGUUAAUAACCUUAGCAAUUGACGUUAGCGACAGAAGAAGCACCGGCUAACUCCGUGCCAGCAGCCGCGGUAAUACGGAGGGUGCGAGCGUUAAUCGGAAUUACUGGGCGUAAAGGGCACGCAGGCGGUUAAUUAAGUUGGAUGUGAAAUCCCCGGGCUUAACCUGGGAAUGGCAUUCAAGACUGGUUAGCUAGAGUCUUGUAGAGGGGGGUUAGAAUUCCAUGUGUAGCGGUGAAAUGCGUAGAGAUGUGGAGGAAUACCGGUGGCGAAGGCGGCCCCUGGACAAAGACUGACGCUCAUGUGCGAAAGCGUGGGGAGCAAACAGGGAUUAGAUACCCGU
This 458-nucleotide ribosomal RNA is filed under the name uncultured bacterium. RNAcentral's name for it is "bacterial SSU rRNA". It matches the Rfam family "Bacterial small subunit ribosomal RNA", at positions 340 to 789 of the family's 1533-position model. The record is from RNAcentral.